AUCCAGCUGACGAGUCCUAAAUGGGACGAAACGCACGUCUUGGAU
This 45-nucleotide non-coding RNA is filed under the name Schistosoma haematobium. The record is from RNAcentral. Lineage: Eukaryota; Metazoa; Platyhelminthes; Trematoda; Strigeidida; Schistosomatidae.